GACUGCCCACACAUGCUCACCCUUCCCUUGAUAUGUGCCCUGUUCCCCUCCCUCCCUUGCCCUCCUCCUUUUUUUUUGAGGCGUUUCUUUCCCCCCGUGUGAGGAUGUGAGAAAUGAGAGCACCUGGGGCAGUGAGCUGUUGGUGAAGGAGGAUUCAGUGCCACAAAAACACCAAACAACAAGGGAAGUGCUAAAUUAACCGCGCACAAACAUCAACGAGCAGGUGAUAGCAGUGAGGGUAAUGAAGGCCAGGAUUCCUCAGGCAGCACCUGGUGGGAAGUUAAAAGAACAAAUCCAGCUGUGAUGGUGGUCAGCCUUGGUUUGUGACUGUUAAGAAGGAGGAAAUAUGUGAAUUCAGCCCCACGUGCCUGCAAUUUGCUUGCAAACUUCAGCUGCACUGGUUGGUGAGUAGAAGACCUGCAGCUGGAAAGGAUCAAGGUCUGGGACAGGUCAGGGAGCCUGGGUGCAGGCACUGGACAGAGCUAGAGGCCUUACUGAUUUUCCAGGGAUCUGUGAAGCCAGGAAGUGUGUGAGCGAGAGCACACACAGUGAUGAGCCUCUCUAGAGCAUGUGCUCAGCCUUGCUACGGGCUGGACUCCAGCAGAAAAGGGCAGCCCCAUCCAUCUGCUAGGGGUGGAGAGACUGCCUGGGUCCCUGGGGAGGUGCCCCCAAUCUUCCAUCUAUAACGCAUGGAAGAGUAUUGAAGCUUUUAAGUAUGGGAGAGAAAAAAAAAAGAAAAAGAAAAAUGCACGAAAGCACCAAAGAGCAAAGAUUUUGUGUCCCAGCACUGAGAUAUGUAAAUGCACUGGCUGAACGGAGUACCCAAAAAAAUGGUUAUGCUUGUUCAAAGUUACACUGCACUUUUUUUGGUGCCAGCCUGGAACUCUCCUGCCAGCAGGCAUUCCCCUGCUUCUUGGAAGUGCGCUGGACUCCAAGAAAAUGCAAAGUCUCAACUUCAACAAGAAAGAAAACUUUUUAUUGAGAGCAGUGUAAGUCAUUACAAGGUGAGCACAGGCAGGCUGCUAAGAAGCAGCUCCCACACGUAAGUAACAGUCAGUGGAACGAGGGCAAUAUGAGAGAACAUGCAAAGAAAAUAAGGCAACGUGAUUCAAGCUGCUUUCAGACAGGCUCCCCCUCUUUUCUGAAGUGUGAGGCCCAGCGACAUCAACAGCUGUUGAGUUAAAGUCAUCUUUACUGAGUCUGAAGCCAGUCAAUCAUUUUCAGCAUCUUGAAACAAGGGAACUAUGUCUAAACAUUGAAAAGUUGAGGUUCCAGUGUCUUCAGGGCUGGAAUUGUCUGCUCAGGCACCAAAGUGAGUAUUAAAAUGUUCAUACUGUCAUUCUGUGUGGUAAUGAGCUGCCGUGACUGUAAAGCAAUCAUAUAACUGUAGCAUCACUUUCAGACAAUACUGUUGCACAAUGAAUUCACGUAAAGGCUGAAAACAUUGAAAUUCACCCAAGAACACAAAAAUACAGCCUUUAUUCCCUCCUUGUAGCUGAUGAAUUCAGAGAGGCUGCAACCCUGCCAUUUCCCUCUUAACUGUUGAAUACAAAGCCUAAGAAGUAGGUCUUGGAAAAGCUUGUUUUACCACCUUCUAGGAGCUUCAACAAGCACAGAAAACAUUCAUCCUUGCCUUGCACAAAGCCGUGGAGUGAAUUAGAAUGAGACCACUUACUCCUGUGGGUAGCUGGUUAAAUACUUGCUAAGAAGGAGCCCUGCCACCCGUUUGUUCAUUGCAAGCACUGCAGUGUGCCCUGCGGUGAGUACAAUGGAAGUACUUCCACAGAAUUACUUUUGCUUUGGAGUCUAAUUAACAAAAUGGCGCAUAUUCUUAUCUCCAGGCAAUAAAAUGGAGAAAUGUGUUUUCCUUUCUCUUUUUAAAGUUACUAAAAUUGAGUAUGGAGUUUCUGUAACAGCAUCCAGAAGCACAAGUUAUUUAUCUAGAUAAUCCACACGAACUGGAGCGUCACCCUGAAAAUGAAGCAGAGCUUCCUCGAUAGCCCCAUUCCGAUCCCUUUUUUUGCAACUUAAAGACCUUAAGCUAAGACACAAGUAAGCUGACAGCCUUCAAUAUGCUUGAAAGACCCGAGGUGACAGACAUUUCAGUUAAAGAUUUAUGAAAUAAGAUAAAUAUUGACACUUUUUUUUUAAUAGCUUUUUGACUAAAAGUGAUACAUCCAGCAUGACAGUAACAGAAGACUUGUUAGUGCUUGCGUAUCAACUUCACGCUCAGCAAGCAGAGCUGAAUACCAACUCCAUGCCAGGAAGAGUAACUCCAGCAAACAUCGUUACGCUAGAUUAAUGUUAUCUUGAGAUCACAGACACAUUUGGGCAAGAACCCCAUAGUUGCUUCUUUUUAAACAGAAAAUGAGCCCCUUUGACUUCACAGCCCCAGAUAAAAAUUAAGUAAUUGAAUAAAUGAAAGGGGUUGUAAGGAACCUUAAAUUUAGCAUGAACUGCCUUGAAAUAUGAAUACAAACUAGAUGUCAAAGGACAAUUAUAACCAAAACUGUCACUGUCAACACAAGAUCUUCUGGUUUAUAAUGAAGUGAGCGAACUCUCAAAUACAGCAUGAAGGCUGCCAAAGGGUAAACUGGUCUCCAGCACUAAUUACAAGGCUUUUCUUUCCUUUUGACUGCUAAUCUUUUAAAUAUGACAGGGAGAUUCAACCUUUCAGCACACACACUGUGCUUAAAAGUUUUGGUAAUAAAAUCUAGGCAGCUCGCUCUCUCGAUGCCAGAAGAAUCUGCCAACUCCUACAAAAAUCAGCAUUUCCGAAGCAGGUGAGGCUGUUUAUUUGUCUGACUUAAAAUUGGCUGACUAGGGGCCUUGCAAACUUGGGAUGAGGAGGAAAACAAAAAAAAAAACCAAGCACUUACAGACAAAGCCUGACCAAUUGGUGUUAACAAAGACAACGACCAGAAACAAACCUGGUGGGUUUCACUCAUUGAUAAGGAAAGAAGUGGCAUGUGGGAAUGUUCAUUCCAGCGGGGUUAUCUGAUUGAGGACUUCCAAAUUACAAAACAAACACCAGAAACAAACCUGCUCAGUCCCAGUGAUUGCUAAGUGUGAGAAUGUUUAUUCUAGCAGGGCUGGCUGAUAAACGGCUUCUAAAUUGGGAUGCAAAAGG
This is a long non-coding RNA of Cygnus olor (mute swan), 3130 nucleotides long. RefSeq lists it as uncharacterized. Lineage: Eukaryota; Metazoa; Chordata; Aves; Anseriformes; Anatidae. The transcript has 2 exons. The record is from RefSeq and is a predicted model, not a curated record.